AUGGCUGAGUUACAGAAAUCAUUAGCAUCAUUCAGGAGACAAGGCUCAUCAGGAUUGGUUUGGGAUGACAAGUUCCUGUCUGGUCUGAAUCAAAACCAACAACAACAACAAGAUGAGAGUAACACCGUUGGAUCAAGUGCCACGUUGGAUAGAAGUAGAUCAGAUGGAGGAAGACCAUAUCGGACGGUCAACGUUUCACCACCAUCAAAGGACCCUCCUUCUCCGAAGGUAGCAACCUGUGGUUUAUGUGGUUUCUUUCGGGAAUCAAAUAAACCCAAAUCAAGGAAAAAAAGAUGA
Non-coding RNA from Vicia faba (fava bean), 297 nucleotides. The record is from the annotation of a GenBank genome assembly. NCBI's taxonomy places the organism in Eukaryota, Viridiplantae, Streptophyta, Magnoliopsida, Fabales, Fabaceae.